GGGUUGUGAGGUUAAGCGACUAAGCGUACACGGUGGAUGCCUAGGCAAUCAG
Molecule: ribosomal RNA, 52 nt
Filed under: Morganella morganii
Lineage: Bacteria; Pseudomonadati; Pseudomonadota; Gammaproteobacteria; Enterobacterales; Morganellaceae
Also listed under: 1 other name
Description: partial 23S ribosomal RNA
Source: RNAcentral